UACGAAGGGGGCUAGCGUUGCUCGGAAUCACUGGGCGUAAAGCGCACGUAGGCGGAUUGCUAAGUCAGGGGUGAAAUCCUGGAGCUCAACUCCAGAACUGCCUUUGAUACUGGCGAUCUUGAGUCCGGGAGAGGUGAGUGAAACUGCGAGUGUAGAGGUGAAAUUCGUAGAUAUUCGCAAGAACACCAGUGGCGAAGGCGGCUCACUGGCCCGGUACUGACGCUGAGGUGCGAAAGCGUGGGGAGCGAUCCGG
RNAcentral lists this ribosomal RNA (253 nucleotides) under uncultured bacterium. Its description in RNAcentral is "partial 16S ribosomal RNA". It matches the Rfam family "Bacterial small subunit ribosomal RNA", at positions 524 to 776 of the family's 1533-position model. The record is from RNAcentral.